Alosa sapidissima (American shad) is the source of this 493-nucleotide long non-coding RNA. RefSeq lists it as uncharacterized. The record is from RefSeq and is a predicted model, not a curated record. The transcript has 3 exons. Lineage: Eukaryota; Metazoa; Chordata; Actinopteri; Clupeiformes; Clupeidae.
GAAGAGAGGCACCACCCAUGACAGGGGGUACAGCACGCGGUCAGCAAACGUCUGGUCAGGCAACACACACACACGCACACACACACACACACACACACACACACACACACGAUGGGGUCAGCACAAUAACAGGAUCCAGACUGAGAUUUACCCCAUUAGUCCCCAUAGUUACUAUUGUCCAACAUACUCUGACAAAUGUCACCUUGCUUUGCAAUGCGUACCUCAGAUUGCAAUAUGUAAAGGAUAUACAAGCAUAUUAUACACAAUGCUGCCUUACAUUAGAACAAAUAAACAUCCUUGUUGAACUUUUUAACAUUGAGUUGACGGUGUGGCUUAAUCCAAAGAUAUAAUGAUCACACGACAAGACUGAGAGUGAUCACUCCAUGUAUCAGUGUUACAGUAAUCCCAUGCACGUCAUAUCAGUGUUACAGUAAUCCCAUGCACAUCAUAUCAGUGUUACAUUAAUCCCAUGCAUGUCAUAUCAGUGUUUCAG